RNAcentral lists this long non-coding RNA (562 nucleotides) under Chinchilla lanigera (long-tailed chinchilla). RNAcentral's name for it is "lncRNA (ENSCLAG00000026510.1)". The record is from RNAcentral. Lineage: Eukaryota; Metazoa; Chordata; Mammalia; Rodentia; Chinchillidae.
CAUUCAAAGAUGCUUCUGCCCUUCAUAUUUCUGUCAUCAGGGGUGAAGAAUUGUUGCAGAACCUCUAUCUACUCCACUUUCAACCCAUAUGGGCCCUGUCUGUCUCACAGGUGAUCACAGUUUGGAAACAGUUUCCUUUUCGUGAUGUCCAUGAUGUGCCACCAGGGAAGCUGGUGGUACGUGGGUACACAGAGAUCAACAGCAGACAAAGUAGCCUUUGUGAAUGCCAACAGAUCCUCAAUUUCCGUGCUGCCACUUGUGCAGAUCGGCCCCUGAGCAGCAGCCAGAGGGGAGAGAACUGAAUGGAAGGUCUGCUAAUGGAGACAGGCAGCCCCAGACUUCUGGUGAUCACGUUUAGCUUUCAACGGCUGCAUGAAACACAAAGUUCAAGUUAAGCAGGGCCACAGAGAGAGAAGGACAGCGCUGUAGAAAAGACCAGAGGCCCUUCCACCAGAGCCCGCUAUGACGGGUCCCACCGUGAACAUCUUGAGCCCUAAUAAAUCCUGGCUGUUACUUACACAACAAGCAGCCACUUUCUGCCUCCAAAUCUGGCUCAGCUCCG